UGGGGAAUAUUGGGCAAUGGGCGCAAGCCUUACCCAGCAACGCCGCGUGAGGGAAGAAGGUUUUCGGAUCGUAAACCUCUGUCCUGGGGGACGAAGGAAGUGACGGUACCCCGGGAGGAAGCCCCGGCUAACUACGUGCCAGCAGCCGCGGUAAUACGUAGGGGGCGAGCGUUGUCCGGAAUUAUUGGGCGUAAAGGGCGCGUAGACGGCUGAGUAAGUUAUAGGUGAAAGCCCAGCUUUUAAGGCUGGAAUUGCCUGUAAUACUGUUCAGCUUGAGUGCAGGAGAGGGAAGCGGAACUCCUAGUGUAGCGGUGAAAUGCGUAGAUAUUAGGAAGAACACCAGUGGCGAAGGCGGCUUUCUGGACUGUAACUGACGUUGAGGCGCGAAAGCGUGGGGAGCAAACAGGAUUAGAUACCCUGGUA
RNAcentral lists this ribosomal RNA (423 nucleotides) under uncultured bacterium. RNAcentral describes it as "bacterial SSU rRNA". It matches the Rfam family "Bacterial small subunit ribosomal RNA", at positions 355 to 792 of the family's 1533-position model. The record is from RNAcentral.